UACGUAGGGUGCAAGCGUUGUCCGGAAUUAUUGGGCGUAAAGAGCUCGUAGGCGGUCUGUUGCGUCGGCUGUGAAAACCCGAGGCUCAACCUCGGGCCUGCAGCCGAUACGGGCAGACUAGAGUUCGGCAGGGGAGACUGGAAUUCCUGGUGUAGCGGUGAAAUGCGCAGAUAUCAGGAGGAACACCGGUGGCGAAGGCGGGUCUCUGGGCCGAUACUGACGCU
This 224-nucleotide ribosomal RNA is filed under the name uncultured bacterium. RNAcentral describes it as "partial 16S ribosomal RNA". It matches the Rfam family "Bacterial small subunit ribosomal RNA", at positions 524 to 747 of the family's 1533-position model. The record is from RNAcentral.